CCUACGGGUGGCAGCAGUGAGGAAUAUUGGUCAAUGGGCGAGAGCCUGAACCAGCCAAGUCGCGUGAAGGAUGACGGCCCUACGGGUUGUAAACUUCUUUUGUCAGGGAGCUAUUGAGUCCACGUGUGGUCUUAGCGCGAGUACCCUAAGAAAAAGCAUCGGCUGACUACGUGCCAGCAGCCGCGGUACUCCGGAGGAUUCGAGCGUUAUCCUGAUUGCUUGGGUUUAAAGGUUGCGUAGGCGGAAUACCAAGUCAGCGGUAAAACUUCGGGGCCAAACCCCGUCGUGCCGUUGAAACUGAUGUUCUAGAGUGGGCGAGAAGUAGGCGGAAUGCGUGGUGUAGCGGUGAAAU
This 352-nucleotide ribosomal RNA is filed under the name uncultured bacterium. Its description in RNAcentral is "partial 16S ribosomal RNA". It matches the Rfam family "Bacterial small subunit ribosomal RNA", at positions 338 to 687 of the family's 1533-position model. The record is from RNAcentral.